GACGAACGCUGGCGGCGUGCCUAAUACAUGCAAGUAGAACGCUGAAGAGAGGAGCUUGCUCUUCUUGGAUGAGUUGCGGACGGGUGAGUAACGCGUAGGUAACCUGCCUGGUAGCGGGGGAUAACUAUUGGAAACGAUAGCUAAUACCGCAUGAUAUUAAUUAUUGCAUGAUAAUUGAUUGAAAGAUGCAAUUGCAUCACUACCAGAUGGACCUGCGUUGUAUUAGCUAGUUGGUGAGGUAACGGCUCACCAAGGCGACGAUACAUAGCCGACCUGAGAGGGUGAUCGGCCACACUGGGACUGAGACACGGCCCAGACUCCUACGGGAGGCAGCAGUAGGGAAUCUUCGGCAAUGGGGGGAACCCUGACCGAGCAACGCCGCGUGAGUGAAGAAGGUUUUCGGAUCGUAAAGCUCUGUUGUAAGAGAAGAACGGGUGUGAGAGUGGAAAGUUCACACUGUGACGGUAUCUUACCAGAAAGGGACGGCUAACUACGUGCCAGCAGCCGCGGUAAUACGUAGGUCCCGAGCGUUGUCCGGAUUUAUUGGGCGUAAAGCGAGCGCAGGCGGUUAGAUAAGUCUGAAGUUAAAGGCUGUGGCUUAACCAUAGUAUGCUUUGGAAACUGUUUAACUUGAGUGCAGAAGGGGAGAGUGGAAUUCCAUGUGUAGCGGUGAAAUGCGUAGAUAUAUGGAGGAACACCGGUGGCGAAAGCGGCUCUCUGGUCUGUAACUGACGCUGAGGCUCGAAAGCGUGGGGAGCAAACAGG
RNAcentral lists this ribosomal RNA (765 nucleotides) under uncultured Streptococcus sp. RNAcentral's name for it is "bacterial SSU rRNA". It matches the Rfam family "Bacterial small subunit ribosomal RNA", at positions 28 to 776 of the family's 1533-position model. Lineage: Bacteria; Bacillati; Bacillota; Bacilli; Lactobacillales; Streptococcaceae. The record is from RNAcentral.